Long non-coding RNA from Saccostrea cuccullata (small rock oyster), 1154 nucleotides. RefSeq lists it as uncharacterized. NCBI's taxonomy places the organism in Eukaryota, Metazoa, Mollusca, Bivalvia, Ostreida, Ostreidae. The transcript is spliced from 4 exons. The record is from RefSeq and is a predicted model, not a curated record.
CUAUCUUUUGUUCUUACUAAUUACCUUAAUUAGCUACAUGCAUUAUAAAAUAGUAAAAUUAGAUGUUUUAGAUAUAAUAAUACAUCUCAAAAAUUUAUCUCAGAAAAUAUCAUUUCCAAGAUGAAAAAAAUAACAAAUUCAACAUCCAAUGUGCAUCAGCAUCUCAAAAUUAAUUGAUUGUUCAAAUGCAACUGAAUUUGCACAGCAUUUGGAUCCUUUUGUGUAAUUAGCACACCGACUUUAUUGAAAGCGAGGCUUACUUGGCGUGGUGGAAUGGAAGAUGAUGGCGGUGUUCAGCAGAGGAUCUUUGUGGAGAUACCUCAGGCAAAAUUAAAAAUAUACAAAAUAGAAUGAAAAUUGCAAUAAUGGAAGGAUUGACAGAUAUACAUGCUUCAUUUUGUGAAAAUGGUGAGGAUUUACAGUAAAACAGGAAACAAAGAAGGAUGAUGGGAGAAACAAAAUUACAGGUUGUUUCUUAUGAUGUCUAUGACGCCUUGUCACAAAGACCAGUACUCUGAUGAGAUGUGGGAGCCGGAAUAAUGCCAAUAAGGAGGAGGGCAGGAAGCAGUUUCUGGAAGUGAAUUUGAAGAUGAUGAGAAAAACUUUCCAUUUUCCAAAAAGUCACUAAAGAGUUUGACACAUUUGACACGGAGAGCCUUACAGAAUAUGGAAAUGAAAUCUAAUGUAAGUGAAUCAAGAUCAGAUUCUUGGAAGAGUUCCAGCUCAAUGUCACUUAGAAGAUUAGAUGGUCCUUCCAGUAGAGACACUGAAUUGUGAAGGAGGAGAUGUGGGUUGUCAGAACAGCAUUGGAGGAGUUCAACGAGUCUUCUGUAGAUGGUGCCCAUGUCGCUUGCACACAUGUUAUUGUCUUCUGCAAUACUCAUGUAAGGUUCUGUAAUUUUGAUGGAGAGUAUACCAAGACAUCUCACUAUUGCCAGAAUGAAUUUAUUUUGUAAAGCACAAAGAAUGAAUUUCUGCACCUGAUUUAAAGACGGUUUUGUAGAAGAAAGAUAUUGCAAAAUGUGUUUUUUGAGAUAGAAUGUUCUUGCAGAAUUGAAGAAAACAGUAUUGAAUCUAGUGCCUCUGUGAUUCAUGAUAGGAAUUUUUGAAAUGUUGAGAGUAUCUUUAAUGUAGGUGGACGUAAACAGAGGAUC